Molecule: ribosomal RNA, 451 nt
Filed under: uncultured bacterium
Lineage: Bacteria
Description: partial 16S ribosomal RNA
Rfam family: Bacterial small subunit ribosomal RNA
Source: RNAcentral
GUGGGGAAUCUUCCGCAAUGGGCGAAAGCCUGACGGAGCAACGCCGCGUGAGUGAAGAAGGCCUUCGGGUCGUAAAGCUCUGUCUUUAGGGACGAACCGCGUAUGGAGUAAUAUGCCAUACGUCUGACGGUACCUAAGGAGGAAGCUCCGGCUAACUACGUGCCAGCAGCCGCGGUAAUACGUAGGGAGCGAGCGUUGUCCGGAAUUACUGGGCGUAAAGGGCGGGUAGGGGGAGGUUUAAGUAGGGUGUGAAAACUAUGGGCUCAACCGAUAGACUGCAUCCUAAACUGGGCCUCUUGAGGGCAGGAGAGGAAAGUGGAAUUCCUAGUGUAGCGGUGAAAUGCGUAGAUAUUAGGAGGAACACCAGUGGCGAAGGCGACUUUCUGGACUGUACCUGACGCUGAGGCGCGAAAGCGUGGGGAGCGAACAGGAUUAGAAACCCGUGUAGUCC